GACGAAGGUGGCAAGCGUUGCUCGGAAUCACUGGGCAUAAAGCGCGCGUAGGUGGCCUGACAAGUCAGUGGUGAAAUCCCAUCGCUCACCGAUGGAACUGCCGCCGAUACUGUCGGGCUUGAGGACGGUAGGGGAGAGUGGAACUCCUGGUGUAGCGGUGAAAUGCGUAGAUAUCAGGAGGAACGCCGGUGGCGAAAGCGACUCUCUGGGCUGUUCCUGACACUGAUGCGCGAGAGCUAGGGGAGCAAACAGG
Molecule: ribosomal RNA, 253 nt
Filed under: uncultured bacterium
Lineage: Bacteria
Description: partial 16S ribosomal RNA
Rfam family: Bacterial small subunit ribosomal RNA
Source: RNAcentral